AGACCACCAGCUAAGGUCCCAAAAUAUAUGUUAAGUGGAAAAGGAUGUGGCGUUGCCCAGACAACUAGGAUGUUGGCUUAGAAGCAGCCAUCAUUUAAAGAGUGCGUAAUAGCUCACUAGUCGAGUGACACUGCGCCGAAAAUGUACCGGGGCUAAACAUAUUACCGAAGCUGUGGAUUGUCCUUUGGACAAUGGUAGGAGAGCGUUCUAAGGGCGUUGAAGCAUGAUCGUAAGGACAUGUGGAGCGCUUAGAAGUGAGAAUGCCGGUGUGAGUAGCGAAAGACGGGUGAGAAUCCCGUCCACCGAUUGACUAAGGUUUCCAGAGGAAGGCUCGUCCGCUCUGGGUUAGUCGGGUCCUAAGCUGAGGCCGACAGGCGUAGGCGAUGGAUAACAGGUUGAUAUUCCUGUACCACCUAUAAUCGUUUUAAUCGAUGGGGGGACGCAGUAGGAUA
RNAcentral lists this ribosomal RNA (452 nucleotides) under Staphylococcus aureus. RNAcentral describes it as "partial 23S ribosomal RNA". It matches the Rfam family "Bacterial large subunit ribosomal RNA", at positions 1029 to 1484 of the family's 2925-position model. The record is from RNAcentral. Lineage: Bacteria; Bacillati; Bacillota; Bacilli; Caryophanales; Staphylococcaceae.